RNAcentral lists this ribosomal RNA (483 nucleotides) under uncultured Alphaproteobacteria bacterium. RNAcentral describes it as "bacterial SSU rRNA". It matches the Rfam family "Bacterial small subunit ribosomal RNA", at positions 275 to 776 of the family's 1533-position model. Lineage: Bacteria; Pseudomonadati; Pseudomonadota; Alphaproteobacteria. The record is from RNAcentral.
GACGAUCAGUAGCUGGUCUGAGAGGAUGACCAGCCACACUGGGACUGAGACACGGCCCAGACUCCUACGGGAGGCAGCAGUGGGGAAUAUUGGACAAUGGGCGCAAGCCUGAUCCAGCCAUGCCGCGUGAGUGACGAAGGUCUUCGGAUUGUAAAGCUCUUUUGCCAGGGACGAUAAUGACGGUACCUGGAGAAUAAGCCCCGGCUAACUUCGUGCCAGCAGCCGCGGUAAUACGAAGGGGGCUAGCGUUGUUCGGAAUUACUGGGCGUAAAGCGCACGUAGGCGGAUUUGUUAGUCAGGGGUGAAAUCCCGGGGCUCAACCUCGGAACUGCCUUUGAUACUGCAAGUCUCGAGUCCGGAAGAGGUGAGUGGAAUUCCUAGUGUAGAGGUGAAAUUCGUAGAUAUUAGGAAGAACACCAGUGGCGAAGGCGGCUCACUGGUCCGGUACUGACGCUGAGGUGCGAAAGCGUGGGAGCAAACAGG